RNAcentral lists this small nucleolar RNA (75 nucleotides) under Methanimicrococcus blatticola. RNAcentral describes it as "Small nucleolar RNA sR3". It matches the Rfam family "Small nucleolar RNA sR3". The record is from Rfam by way of RNAcentral. Lineage: Archaea; Methanobacteriati; Methanobacteriota; Methanomicrobia; Methanosarcinales; Methanosarcinaceae.
AUAUAUGAUGAGCAACGGGUCAACCGAGCAACUUCCGACGGGAAGAUGCGAUGAGGAACCGUUGGAGCGCUGAAG